UUUUACAAAGAUUUCUUUUUCAUAUUGACUUUAUAUCGCAUCGACACCUCGACCAUUAGUGACAGGUAGAGAUUAUUCUUUUGCCAAUCUCUUCUGUUGCAAAAAUCAGACGAAUCUACCUCGAUAAAUUUUCCACACUUUCUUAGGUAAGUAGUCACUUUUCUUCGAGAAAGUUACGCGAACCACUACGUAGAUGGUAAUCUGCGGAAAAAAGUUCUGGUGAGUAGAAGGAACAAGGAACCAUCUACUGUAAUUUUUUGCACAUUCAAGUUGUUGCAAUCUAAUUUACAUUAACAUAGAACAGGAUUGGCUUUUCCCAAGUGAGCAAAAUUUUCAUCGCGUGCAAGAGGCAGACACGCCAUACGAACAAACAGCGAAACUUUCAGCUCGCAGCUAGGUUUAAAACUGAAAUUCAACAGGUGGACCAUGCAAAUAUUUGUCGGAAACGAGGCAUUCGUAUAAUACCGCUCAUCAAUAGUAUUGCUCCGGGCAUUAUCAUCUACGCACAGAAAAAAGAGAUUCCUUCAUCGUGGAGAAAAUUGACAGCUCCGAAACGUCUUCUUUUGUCGAUAACAUCCAGAUCGAUGAUGAUUAGAAUUUUUAUGUCAUCGAACGAAACUACAAGGGCAAGCAUCCUGGAUAUGUGGAAGGAAGCGUAG
Molecule: unclassified non-coding RNA, 659 nt
Filed under: Bombus terrestris (buff-tailed bumblebee)
Lineage: Eukaryota; Metazoa; Arthropoda; Insecta; Hymenoptera; Apidae
Description: misc RNA ENSBTSG00005029731.1
Source: RNAcentral